GGCCUUUAAAACUGAAAAAGAAAAAUAAAACAAAAAGGAAACCUAAACCCUAUCCAGUCAAAGAAAUGAACUGUCACCCACUCCACUGUCCAGAAAAUUCUUUUUCCUUGUUGGUUACAGUUCCCCGGAGCACUACUCCAUGCUGCCCAGAUGUCCCCCACUAGCAUCCGCUCCGGUGAUUCGAAGGUCCCCAAAGCCUCGCAGUCAGGCUCUCGUUCUCUUUGCCUUCCAGAACCCAACCAUUCAACGGCAUAAGAAGGGACGGUAGAGGUAUGUGAAUGACACGCCAAAAUACACUUAGAAAGCUCCGUGGCUUCCCAGAUAAAGGUACUAAUCCUCGAUAGAUCCUCCGAGUUAGUGUUUAGCUUACGGAUGACUGCCCAAGCAUCCCAUUUCAGAAGCGAAAUGCAACCACUGAACAACAGCCAUUGCCUCCGCUGCAAACACUGAAGGAACGUGAGUGGUAAGCCGACUACAAGCGCCCAUUAUCUGACCAUGCUCGUCCCAGAUAAUAACACCCGAACAGGCUUUUUGUAGGGAGAAGGAAAAGCUAGCAUCAACGUUCACCUUAAGGAAAAUGGGUCGAAGAAGCCUUGGAAAAGAAGAAACCAAGCCACCCUUCAGAAGUUAUUGAAAAAGAUAUUGUUUGAAGUUCAAAUGAUGCAUGAUAAAGGGUUACUUGAAUCUACAGCUAAAAAUGGUGUUAAAAAUGAUGCUCCAAGGCCCAAGGCUGACAAAAUUUGCGGAAACCAUGUGUUAUCAGAGAGGAAAUGAAGGGAAAAACUAAACCAACGAUUCAUGAUUCUCAAAACACUGGUACCUUCAAACAACAAGAUGAUACAAUAAAAUACCUGGAGAGAAGGGUUGAAGAGUUGGUAACUUGCAGUGAAUUAAUGGAGCUUGAGACAAGAACAAAAAGACAACCUCGGGAUGGUGUCGAGCGAACAUCAGACAACUACGGCAGUAACAAAAACAUCACCAGCCGAAAGAAAAAAUACGUGAAUAAAAGGAAACCCUCUGACAUUGGUGAAGCAGAGUUGGAGAUUGAAUGUGUUGCAUCAAAGGAUAAUGUUGUUGUAAUCCAAUUUAGGUGUCCAUGGCGAGAUGGACUUGAUGCAUUAAGCAAUUCUCAAUUUGGAUUGCCAUUCAGUUCAAUCAUCCACCACUCCGGCUUCUCUCACUCAUUAUAAAAUCCAAAUAUUAAGGAUCAAAUGUUGCAUCAGCACGGAGGAUCUAGGAAGCGUUAAAAGGGUUGUUUGAAAGUAAGCAUAUUGUGAUGUCAUUUAAGGUUGUAUGUAAAUAAAGGGGAAGAAACCAAGAUUGCAAUUUUCUUCCAAAAAUCUUAGAGCGACAUAAAGUUUAAAAAAAAAAAAUCCAAAAAUCUGAAGCAUAUUUAAAGACGUUGGAAUGAAUAUCUAAAUCUGUGUUUUCUA
Gossypium arboreum is the source of this 1433-nucleotide long non-coding RNA. RefSeq lists it as uncharacterized. The transcript is spliced from 3 exons. The record is from RefSeq and is a predicted model, not a curated record. NCBI's taxonomy places the organism in Eukaryota, Viridiplantae, Streptophyta, Magnoliopsida, Malvales, Malvaceae.